UAAGGCAGAUUCAUGUGAUCUGAGUAAGGCAGAUUCAUGUGAUCAUUUUUCUGUCUCUUUGUUUAGGACAGUUUGAAAAGGGCCAAGUAUUCUGUCACUGUUCUACAAAACAAUAAAUAAUGAAGUAAAUUGAAGAUGUGUGAAUUGUGCCAGCUUGACAGAAAAUGGAGCCGAUGUUCUCAGAGGUGUUACAGCAGUAUUUCCUAAUGAGCAGCCGGAGCCUCUCUCUAGCAUCUCAGAAAACCAAAUGGGAAUGGAGGAUAAGAAAGUGGAAGUAAAGACAAAAGGGAAUAUUUAUUUGGGAUUAACUUGUAGUUACUUGAGCUGAUACACCUAUACUAAAGGAACAAAGGAAAUGAUGGAUCUUUUAACCAUCAGGCU
This 381-nucleotide long non-coding RNA is filed under the name Homo sapiens (human). Its description in RNAcentral is "HSALNT0203173". The record is from RNAcentral. Lineage: Eukaryota; Metazoa; Chordata; Mammalia; Primates; Hominidae.